RNAcentral lists this transfer RNA (77 nucleotides) under Mycoplasmoidaceae bacterium. Its description in RNAcentral is "tRNA-Arg". It matches the Rfam family "tRNA". Rfam says of the family: Transfer RNA (tRNA) molecules are approximately 80 nucleotides in length. Lineage: Bacteria; Bacillati; Mycoplasmatota; Mycoplasmoidales; Mycoplasmoidaceae. The record is from RNAcentral.
GCAUCUGUAGUUCAAUUGGAUAGAACGUCUGACUUCGGAUCAGAAGGUUAUGGGUUCAACUCCUAUCAGGUGCGCCA